GCCUUAUCCACUUCGCCUCUUCUCCCUGCUCCAGCCACACACACACCCACGGGACCGUGCUCCAGUCCACGGUGCCGCGUUCCCCUUCUCUCUUCCCUCCUCUCUACAAUCCUCCAAGCUUUCGUCGGCCACUUGCGGGGCGGCUGCGUAUGGGCUCCAGGUGGCCGGGGCUGCGCGCGGGGGCAGGCUGGGGCUGUGGCGGAGGCGCGGCAGCGGUGGCCGGCGGCUGCUUGAAGGGGCCGCGUGGAUCUGCCGCCGGGGCUUCGGAUCGGCGUUGUCGUUUGAGCCCCGAGUUUUCGACGCCGAGAGCUUGGCGAUCCAGAGGGUGCUGGUCUCCGUCGGUGGACAUUCGAUGACAAAUGAAAAAAACAGAGGCAACCAAUUCAGCGAGGCCGCCCACCCAGCAAAGCGCACCAAAGAACCAAUUCUUUCUUUACCAGAGAAGAAGAAGGCGAGGCCCAAUCUCAGCCGCCGUUCGUCCUUACCUGCCUACGUCCGGCGGGCCGAUGGGGGGCCCGACCUGAGGCGACAUGGCCCUCCCAAGAGAGAAGCAGGCGUCGGCGCUGUGCAGGCCGUCCAUGGCGAUGGAGACGCCCGGGCAGGAAGGGCUCAAUCCGGAUGAACCAGCCCGCACCGAGCCCGGCCGCCUCAACAGGAGCUCGUCUCUCUGCCUGCCUGCGGCUCACCGGAGCCGCCAUCGCCGGCGACCGCCUCCCUCAAUUUGUGCCCCUUCUCCUUCGCCUUUCUUCCUCUCUUCCCCGAGGAGCGGGGAGCCGGCGAAUCCGUCGGUCAGGAGCUGGGCGGCGCGCCGGCGCCCUCCAUCAUCGCGGUCGUUUGGGAAGGGACGCGGUCCUGGUCGAUGCGGUGUGUGGCGGGCGACGCAGGGCAGGAGGUGGCGGCGGGAUGAAGGUACAUGCAAUGGGGCACCGGCAAACAGAGGCGGGCGGCGGAGGUGCUGCAGGAGCGGCGCUCGACUGCGAGGUGAGGAGGAGGAGCAGAGGAAGGGGAGGCUGGAGGUGAUCCUCGCUGACGAUGGUGGGACGCAGGCAUGAGCAGGAGGAUGAGAGGAAAUGGGAUAGCGGCCUGCUGGUGGCUGCCGGCGACGCCGGGUGGCGAGGGGUCAUCGAAGCGGCGUCGUGGACGCCGGCGCCAAGCGGCGGCGAGUGGCCGUCGGUGGAGUCUUGGAAUGGAUAAGGAAUAUAAGGGCUGACUGCAGACUGCGGGCUAAAUUCUAACUAAUGCAGGGGCUCUUUUGCAACAAUGAAACGUUUUUAGGAACUCACUUGAUAAAGGACUGUGGGUUGAAUUCAACAAACAACAGGGGCUUUUUUGAAAAAAUGACAAUGACGGACGACAGAAACCCAAUUCUUUUUUAUUAUUAGGUAAAGAUACUGCCGCUUUUGGUGUGUGGUCAGUCCUGAGAACGGUCUAUGUUAAUGUCUGUCCACUCAAUUCAGUCUGUAUAUUUUGAAGUAUGCAGGUCAUCUUUUUUGUGAGGACGGUUUAUCAAUUAUGGUUACACUCCAAUAUCUAUAUGCAUUGCAGGGUUUAUCGCACCCACUAGGAUUUCCAGUCCCAUGGAUAUUCGGUCCAUACGAUUUGUCACGACCUUUGGACUGUCCUGCUUGUUGAUACGUCUCCAACGUAUCUAUAAUUUUUGAUUACUCCAUGCUACUUUGUCUAUUGUUUUGGACAAUAUUGGGCUUUAUUUUCCAUUUUUAUAUUAUUUUUGGGACUAACCUAUUAACCGGAGGCCCAGCCCAGAAUUACUGUUUUUUGCCUAUUUCAGUAUUUCGAAGAAACAGAAUAUCAAACGGAGUCCAAACGGAAUAAAACCUUCGGGAACGUGAUUUCCUCAACGAACGUGAUCCAGGAGACUUGGACCCUACUCCAAGAAGUGCCAGAGGCGGUCACGAGAGUGGAGGGCGCCCC
This 1932-nucleotide ribosomal RNA is filed under the name Triticum aestivum (bread wheat). RNAcentral describes it as "partial small subunit ribosomal RNA". The record is from RNAcentral. Lineage: Eukaryota; Viridiplantae; Streptophyta; Magnoliopsida; Poales; Poaceae.